This is a long non-coding RNA of Coregonus clupeaformis (lake whitefish), 130 nucleotides long. RefSeq lists it as uncharacterized. NCBI's taxonomy places the organism in Eukaryota, Metazoa, Chordata, Actinopteri, Salmoniformes, Salmonidae. The record is from RefSeq and is a predicted model, not a curated record. The transcript is spliced from 3 exons.
CAGUCUCUUUCUCCCCCACAACACACACGGGACGACUCCCUGGACAGCCUGGAUUCUUUUGGCUCGCGCUCCCAGGCUAGCCCCUCCCCCGACGUCAUCAUCCAUGGCAACAGUGAUGGUGACUCAGAAG